UUGAUGCGUCUUAUUUCAAGAGCAAUUCACUAAGGAUUUUGUGUAAACAUUGAUCUGUUCAAUAAAGCGCUUAUUGAAAACUAAUCAGAUGAUUUCGUUUAUUCAUUGACCCAUACCAAUCCAAUUAAGCUUAAUUUAUCGACGAAAUAAUCUCACCUUUAUCAAUCAUAUUUAGUCAUUUUCAGUCUAGUCAAUGAUUGAAUCUGUUGCUUUUUUCACAUAGGAUUUACCGAGACUGUUCAUCUUAUAUGCGUUAAUAUUUUCUCCCAACUAUUAACUAUACUAACACUUAACAUUUAUUUCAACUUUAAUUUAUCCAUAAAAAUUUAUAACUUCAUCUAAAUCUGAAUCGCAUUGGAACCGAAAGGGUAAGUUGAGUUCAAAAAUGAUAGUCUCAACAGUUUCAUUCUUAACAUGAUACAGUUUUGGUUAUUUCCUCGUUUCGCCUUUUAAUUUAAUAUUUUUCGUUGAUCAUUGUUGAUCCUCAUUUAAUGCAAUUCAGUUUGGACUUAUCUCUUGAUUUACAUUACCAUGAAUUGGUUGCCAAAAUUUACUGACUUAAUCACUGUCAUCACAAUUUUGUUUACAGGGUUGGUUAAUUUUUAGCUUUGGCAAUCAACAUUAUUAAUGUGCAUUUUCAUAACCAGAGUUUAGUGUACAUGAAUUAAAUGAUUGUUGACAAUAC
Non-coding RNA from Tetranychus urticae (two-spotted spider mite), 685 nucleotides. The record is from RefSeq and is a predicted model, not a curated record. NCBI's taxonomy places the organism in Eukaryota, Metazoa, Arthropoda, Arachnida, Trombidiformes, Tetranychidae.